AUUAUCAGUAGCCUCAUCCUCAAACCAAUUAACCAGUUAUGGCUUGACAUAGAAUUACACAAACACGAUGGUGUCCCAGUCCAUUGUCCAGCUGACCAUUCUACAAUGAGCAACGAUUAAUGUUUACCUUCCUCUGCUGGGGUUUCAUUCUGAGGAGGGGUGCUUUCCUGGGCCUGCUGAAAAUUUUGGCAGGGGUAUCCUCUGGGUGGAUAGGCCCAGCCCUGCAUCCAUGGGAAGGGAGGGACUCCAUGAUGCAUUUUACGGAACCAACGGCUGCGCGGAUAGACCUGAAAAACAGACUGAUUGCAGUAUUUCAAGGCAAAGCUUAAUUUCUCAAAAACAGCCAAGAGCACACAGAGCAAGUGCAGUGUCACUGACACUAAACAGAUGGCUUAACAAGGUCUAAGAUGGUGAGCUGAUCUGGAGUCCUGCAUAAUUCCUGUUGCCUCUGCUGUUACAACAAGUGCAGUAUAUAAAAUACAGCAUUUCAAGAGAAAUUCGUUUUAGGCUAGGCGUCCUCCUUCAAUGUAAUACACAGCCUGGCUGAAUUCUGAUAAGAUUGAAAAAUGAAGUCUGAUCUGCUGAGACUAUACAUUGGUGACCGUGGGAAGCUACAACCUUUGCACAGUUGCACACUAUACUUCCUGUACAGGAGAUUGCCUCAAUGCUGUGUGAGUUGUUUCUAUUAUAGGUGCCAUGGAUCUACCACGUAUUUCAUUGACUAAACACUGGACAGCUAUUAUGGUAUCUGCUAAGAACAUCUGGAAGGCUCCCCCUUUGAGGCCCUGGAACACGCCAGUCACCUUGUUAGCUAGCAGCUCGCAGCUGGACACGGACGCCUUCU
Xenopus tropicalis (tropical clawed frog) is the source of this 844-nucleotide long non-coding RNA. RefSeq lists it as uncharacterized. The transcript has 4 exons. The record is from RefSeq and is a predicted model, not a curated record. NCBI's taxonomy places the organism in Eukaryota, Metazoa, Chordata, Amphibia, Anura, Pipidae.